CUAUUUAUUUAAAAUGUGAUUCCAGACGACAGGCAACAGUCCCAGUGUUCUCUGUCUUGCACAGCUCUUUCCGCCCUGAGAAACAGAAAUUAUAUAACUUGUUUUCAAUUGUGCAGACCGGGGAGGAUUCACAUGUUCAGUUUGAUGAGACUCCUAGGUGAGAGACAAAGGAUUUUUUUACUCAUGUUGCAGCAAAAAGCAUGAGCACCAUCAUUUUGUGCCAGAUCCAUUUAUGACUCAAGGUCCAACAAGGAAUAGAUGGAGAAUAUGAAGAGAAAGCAGGAGAAAAAGAGGAAAAAGCAACAUCCUGGCUGCAAGUGGAUGGGAAAGGAACCUAGUGUGUCAUGUUCUCAUAGUCAGUGAUGAUGUUUGGGGACAACUGUUGGCAUGGGAAGCCCACGGGAGGCUACUGCUCUGCUGACUUUCUGGAUGCAGCCAGAAUCGAUGGUAUAAUCACACGUACAGCUUCCUUUCUCUCUGUCUGUCGUCUGUCUGUCUGUCUUUCUCACAUAGACUGAGCUAAGGGAAAAGGCACAUCACUCUCUCCUUCGGGCACUGCUUCUCCUGGUAUGCUUCACCUUCCUUGUUGGUCUUUAUAAUUCCUCCCACCCUAGAAGUGAGACUCCUCUCACCUGCCUUGUUAUUGAAGCUCAACUGAUAAAAGGAGCAUGUUUAUAUUAAAAAAGAAAGAGUUUUAUAUACACACACACGCACACA
Molecule: long non-coding RNA, 717 nt
Organism: Canis lupus familiaris (dog)
Lineage: Eukaryota; Metazoa; Chordata; Mammalia; Carnivora; Canidae
Exons: 4
Source: RefSeq, a predicted model, not a curated record